CAUAUACUCCCUCCGCCCCAAAAUUCUUGUCCUAGAUUUGUCUAAAUACAGAUGUUUCAAGUCACUUCUUAGUAUUAGAUACAUCCGUAUCAAGACAAAUCUAAGACAAGAAUUUUGAGACGGAGGGAGUAUAUU
Molecule: non-coding RNA, 135 nt
Organism: Triticum aestivum (bread wheat)
Lineage: Eukaryota; Viridiplantae; Streptophyta; Magnoliopsida; Poales; Poaceae
Source: Rfam